Amphiprion ocellaris (clown anemonefish) is the source of this 404-nucleotide long non-coding RNA. The record is from Ensembl. NCBI's taxonomy places the organism in Eukaryota, Metazoa, Chordata, Actinopteri, Pomacentridae.
GCCAGAAGGAAAGAAGACGCAGGAGGAAAGAGAUGUAUCCAAGUCCAGGUGUGAGGUUCCAGUGCAGCCAAUGCCAGACAGUUUCCCUCCAGGGAGGAGCCAGAAGAAGCUUCUGCAGCGACUGGUACAAAUUUCAUCCCUGCUUAGAAAACUCACAAUCAAAAGAUGCAGCUUACUGUUUUGCAUGUCGGCAUUUUUCCCUCCCAGAUGCUCCAAAGACUGUUUCCACCUCAUUGGAGGGUUAUCACAACUGGAAAAAGGCUACAAUGAAAGACAUGGUUUCUGUUCUCAUGGCAGAUCUGAAGGACAUGGAAAUGCAACGUUUGCAUGGACAGAGAACAAGAACAUUCAGGAUAAAAAUACCUCAAUGUUUGGACUAAUGGAUGAGCAAAAAAAGAAGCAGG